UGAGUGCAAAUGGAACCAACAGGUUU
RNAcentral lists this non-coding RNA (26 nucleotides) under Homo sapiens (human). Lineage: Eukaryota; Metazoa; Chordata; Mammalia; Primates; Hominidae. The record is from RNAcentral.